UCGGGAUAGCUCAGUUGGUAGAGCAGAGGACUGAAAAUCCUCGUGU
Molecule: transfer RNA, 46 nt
Filed under: Colocasia esculenta (taro)
Lineage: Eukaryota; Viridiplantae; Streptophyta; Magnoliopsida; Alismatales; Araceae
Also listed under: 2 other names
Description: partial tRNA-Phe
Source: RNAcentral